Molecule: small RNA, 448 nt
Filed under: Histoplasma ohiense
Lineage: Eukaryota; Fungi; Ascomycota; Eurotiomycetes; Onygenales; Ajellomycetaceae
Description: hypothetical lncRNA
Source: RNAcentral
GGCCCACCCUGUAAUCACAACGCCACAGUUAGGACAUCUACUCUGUGAGGAUUCGACGCGGGGAAAUAAACGCAACAGCUCGCCCACUAGCUCUCUUAGCGCCGUCCUAGCUGAUAGGAUCGAUUUGACACGCGAGGGCAGGGACCUAGCCGCAGACUGCCAGACUGUGCUGGCUGUGCGUGUAUACUUUGGUGCGUCUGUUUGUCUGGGAGAGCUGCUGUUUGAUAUUCGGCGGAGUCGCGGUGGGUUAAGAUGGUAUGUAGUGAUUUAUCACACGUGGGAUAGGCGCAUGCAUGAGCAAACAAGCAAAUUUAUCAUGGAAGAAACACCUUUCUAGCCAGGUCAAGGGGUGGAGGAAGUAUAUGGAUUUCAUUCACAACAUGCUGAUACACUAGAUAUGAUAUCAGAUACGGGGCAAGGAAAGAAAAGAAAAGAAACCGAGACGAGC